RNAcentral lists this non-coding RNA (81 nucleotides) under Cynara cardunculus (cardoon). Lineage: Eukaryota; Viridiplantae; Streptophyta; Magnoliopsida; Asterales; Asteraceae. The record is from miRBase by way of RNAcentral. RNAcentral also lists the same sequence under 1 other name.
GUCACCUCUGAAACUCAAGAACACGUUGUCGACCUACAGAUUCUGUAACAAUACGAUGUGUUCUUGAGUUUCGAUGCGACG